AGAAAGCUUGCUUUCUUGCUGACGAGUGGCGGACGGGUGAGUAAUGCUUGGGAAUCUGGCUUAUGGAGGGGGAUAACGACGGGAAACUGUCGCUAAUACCGCGUAUUAUCGGAAGAUGAAAGUGCGGGACUGAGAGGCCGCAUGCCAUAUGAUGAGCCCAAGUGGGAUUAGGUAGUUGGUGGGGUAAAUGCCUACCAAGCCUGCGAUCAUCUAGCUGGUCUGAGAGGAUGACCAGCCACACUGGAACUGAGACACGGUCCAGACUCCUACGGGAGGCAGCAGUGGGGAAUAUUGCGCAAUGGGGGGAACCCUGACGCAGCCAUGCCGCGUGAAUGAAGAAGGCCUUCGGGUUGUAAAGUUCUUUCGGUAUUGAGGAAGGUUGAUGUGUUAAUAGCACAUCAAAUUGACGUUAAAUACAGAAGAAGCACCGGCUAACUCCGUGCCAGCAGCCGCGGUAAUACGGAGGGUGCGAGCGUUAAUCGGAAUAACUGGGCGUAAAGGGCACGCAGGCGGUUAUUUAAGUGAGGUGUGAAAGCCCUGGGCUUAACCUAGGAAUUGCAUUUCAGGCUGGGUAACUAGAGUACUUUAGGGAGGGGUAGAAUUCCACGUGUAGCGGUGAAAUGCGUAGAGAUGUGGAGGAAUACCGAAGACGAAGGCAGCCCCUUGGGAAUGUGCUGACGCUCAUGUGCGAAAGCGUGGAGAGCAAACAGGAUUAGAUACCCUGGUAGUCCACGCUGUAAACGCUGUCGAUUUGGGGGUUGGGGUUUAACUCUG
Molecule: ribosomal RNA, 774 nt
Filed under: uncultured Haemophilus sp.
Lineage: Bacteria; Pseudomonadati; Pseudomonadota; Gammaproteobacteria; Pasteurellales; Pasteurellaceae
Description: bacterial SSU rRNA
Rfam family: Bacterial small subunit ribosomal RNA
Source: RNAcentral